Molecule: ribosomal RNA, 253 nt
Filed under: uncultured bacterium
Lineage: Bacteria
Description: partial 16S ribosomal RNA
Rfam family: Bacterial small subunit ribosomal RNA
Source: RNAcentral
UACGUAGGGUGCAAGCGUUGUCCGGAAUUAUUGGGCGUAAAGAGCUCGUAGGCGGUCUGUUGCGUCGGCUGUGAAAACCCGGGGCUCAACUCCGGGCCUGCAGCCGAUACGGGCAGACUAGAGUUCGGCAGGGGAGACUGGAAUUCCUGGUGUAGCGGUGAAAUGCGCAGAUAUCAGGAGGAACACCAAUGGCGAAGGCAGCACUCUGGGACGUGACUGACGCUGAGACGCGAAAGCGUGGGGAGCAAACAGG